CAGCUAAGGUCCCAAAAUAUAUGUUAAGUGGAAAAGGAUGUGGCGUUGCCCAGACAACUAGGAUGUUGGCUUAGAAGCAGCCAUCAUUUAAAGAGUGCGUAAUAGCUCACUAGUCGAGUGACACUGCGCCGAAAAUGUACCGGGGCUAAACAUAUUACCGAAGCUGUGGAUUGUCCUUUGGACAAUGGUAGGAGAGCGUUCUAAGGGCGUUGAAGCAUGAUCGUAAGGACAUGUGGAGCGCUUAGAAGUGAGAAUGCCGGUGUGAGUAGCGAAAGACGGGUGAGAAUCCCGUCCACCGAUUGACUAAGGUUUCCAGAGGAAGGCUCGUCCGCUCUGGGUUAGUCGGGUCCUAAGCUGAGGCCGACAGGCGUAGGCGAUGGAUAACAGGUUGAUAUUCCUGUACCACCUAUAAUCGUUUUAAUCGAUGGGGGGGACGCAGUAGGAUAGGCGAAGCGUGCGAUUGGAUUGCACGUCUAAGCAGUAAGGCUGAGUAUUAGGCAAAUCCGGUACUCAUUAAGGCUGAGCUGUGAUGGGGAGAAGACAUUGUGUCUUCGAGUCGUUGAUUUCACACUGCCGAGAAAAGCCUCUAGAUAGAAAAUAGGUGCCCGUACCGCAAACCGACACAGGUAGUCAAGAUGAGAAUUCUAAGGUGAGCGAGCGAACUCUCGUUAAGGAACUCGGCAAAAUGACCCCGUAACUUCGGGAGAAGGGGUGCUCUUUAGGGUUAACGCCCAGAAGAGCCGCAGUGAAUAGGCCCAAGCGACUGUUUAUCAAAAACACAGGUCUCUGCUAAACCGUAAGGUGAUGUAUAGGGGCUGACGCCUGCCCGGUGCUGGAAGGUUAAGAGGAGUGGUUAGCUUCUGCGAAGCUACGAAUCGAAGCCCCAGUAAACGGCGGCCGUAACUAUAACGGUCCUAAGGUAGCGAAAUUCCUUGUCGGGUAAGUUCCGACCCGCACGAAAGGCGUAACGAUUUGGGCACUGUCUCAACGAGAGACUCGGUGAAAUCAUAGUACCUGUGAAGAUGCAGGUUACCCGCGACAGGACGGAAAGACCCCGUGGAGCUUUACUGUAGCCUGAUAUUGAAAUUCGGCACAGCUUGUACAGGAUAGGUAGGAGCCUUUGAAACGUGAGCGCUAGCUUACGUGGAGGCGCUGGUGGGAUACUACCCUAGCUGUGUUGGCUUUCUAACCCGCACCACUUAUCGUGGUGGGAGACAGUGUCAGGCGGGCAGUUUGACUGGGGCGGUCGCCUCCUAAAAGGUAACGGAGGCGCUCAAAGGUUCCCUCAGAAUGGUUGGAAAUCAUUCAUAGAGUGUAAAGGCAUAAGGGAGCUUGACUGCGAGACCUACAAGUCGAGCAGGGUCGAAAGACGGACUUAGUGAUCCGGUGGUUCCGUAUGGAAGGGCCAUCGCUCAACGGAUAAAAGCUACCCCGGGGAUAACAGGCUUAUCUCCCCCAAGAGUUCACAUCGACGGGGAGGUUUGGCACCUCGAUGUCGGCUCAUCGCAUCCUGGGGCUGUAGUCGGUCCCAAGGGUUGGGCUGUUCGCCCAUUAAAGCGGUACGCGAGCUGGGUUCAGAACGUCGUGAGACAGUUCGGUCCCUAUCCGUCGUGGGCGUAGGAAAUUUGAGAGGAGCUGUCCUUAGUACGAGAGGACCGGGAUGGACAUACCUCUGGUGUACCAGUUGUCGUGCCAACGGCAUAGCUGGGUAGCUAUGUGUGGACGGGAUAAGUGCUGAAAGCAUCUAAGCAUGAAGCCCCCCUCAAGAUGAGAUUUCCCAACUUCGGUUAUAAGAUCCCUCAAAGAUGAUGAGGUUAAUAGGUUCGAGGUGGAAGCAUGGUGACAUGUGGAGCUGACGAAUACUAAUCGAUCGAAGACUUAAUCAA
RNAcentral lists this ribosomal RNA (1886 nucleotides) under Staphylococcus aureus VET0352R. RNAcentral describes it as "bacterial LSU rRNA". It matches the Rfam family "Bacterial large subunit ribosomal RNA", at positions 1036 to 2925 of the family's 2925-position model. Lineage: Bacteria; Bacillati; Bacillota; Bacilli; Caryophanales; Staphylococcaceae. The record is from RNAcentral.